RNAcentral lists this transfer RNA (73 nucleotides) under Cordylochernes scorpioides. RNAcentral describes it as "tRNA-Thr". Lineage: Eukaryota; Metazoa; Arthropoda; Arachnida; Pseudoscorpiones; Chernetidae. The record is from RNAcentral.
GUCCAGGGAUGGGAAUCGAACCCACAGUGUUCCGCUUACCGGGCAGAUACCAUAACCACUAGGCUACCCUGGA